RNAcentral lists this transfer RNA (73 nucleotides) under [Clostridium] leptum DSM 753. Its description in RNAcentral is "tRNA-Pro". It matches the Rfam family "tRNA". Rfam says of the family: Transfer RNA (tRNA) molecules are approximately 80 nucleotides in length. Their secondary structure includes four short double-helical elements and three loops (D, anti-codon, and T loops). Further hydrogen bonds mediate the characteristic L-shaped molecular structure. tRNAs have two regions of fundamental functional importance: the anti-codon, which is responsible for specific mRNA codon recognition, and the 3' end, to which the tRNAs corresponding amino acid is attached (by aminoacyl-tRNA synthetases). tRNAs cope with the degeneracy of the genetic code in two manners: having more than one tRNA (with a specific anti-codon) for a particular amino acid; and 'wobble' base-pairing, i.e. permitting non-standard base-pairing at the 3rd anti-codon position. The record is from RNAcentral. Lineage: Bacteria; Bacillati; Bacillota; Clostridia; Eubacteriales; Oscillospiraceae.
CGGGGUGUAGCGCAGUUGGUAGCGCGCCUGCUUUGGGAGCAGGAUGCCGGGGGUUCGAAUCCCUUCACUCCGA